UACGAAGGGGGCUAGCGUUGUUCGGAAUUACUGGGCGUAAAGCGUGCGCAGGCGGCUGCUCAAGUCAGGGGUGAAAGCCCAGAGCUCAACUCUGGAAUUGCCUUUGAGACUGAGUGGCUUGAGUACGGGAGAGGUGAGUGGAAUUCCCAGUGUAGAGGUGAAAUUCGUAGAUAUUGGGAAGAACACCAGUGGCGAAGGCGGCUCACUGGCCCGGUACUGACGCUGAGGCGCGAAAGCGUGGGGAGCAAACAGG
Molecule: ribosomal RNA, 253 nt
Filed under: uncultured bacterium
Lineage: Bacteria
Description: partial 16S ribosomal RNA
Rfam family: Bacterial small subunit ribosomal RNA
Source: RNAcentral